AGCUUUGCCCAGUGGCGAUAUCGUAACCAAUGAGGUUCAACCGAGAAUCGAUUAUUGCUAGUAGAAAACUAAAAUAUCAGCUUUUGGAAGCUAAAUGCCUGUCUGCAGUGUAAUAACACAUUUGUAACGAAGUAAUUUG
This 139-nucleotide small nuclear RNA is filed under the name Anopheles minimus. RNAcentral describes it as "U4 spliceosomal RNA". It matches the Rfam family "U4 spliceosomal RNA". From Rfam's summary of the family: U4 small nuclear RNA (U4 snRNA) is a component of the major U2-dependent spliceosome. The structure of U4 snRNA from yeast and human has been reported. The record is from RNAcentral. Lineage: Eukaryota; Metazoa; Arthropoda; Insecta; Diptera; Culicidae.